This 748-nucleotide non-coding RNA is filed under the name Sclerotia substriata. Lineage: Eukaryota; Metazoa; Arthropoda; Insecta; Coleoptera; Lampyridae. The record is from RNAcentral.
AAAGUUUUAUUUUGACUUGAAAUUUUAAUUUAUCAUUAUUUUAUAUGUGUUUUUUAGAUUAAAAAUUUUAUUUGCAGUAUUUAAUAUUAAAUAAUUAUUUAAGUAAGUUUUAGUAAUUGAUUAUUAAGAAUUAAUAAAAUUUGUGCCAGCAAUUGCGGUUACACAAAUGAUUCAAUUAAAAUUUAUUGGUUAAUAAUAAUUUUGUUUAUUAGAAUUUAAAAUUAAAAUUUUAAGGUGAAAUUUAAAUUUUAAUUUAUUUUCUUUUUUUUGAUUUGAGGUUAUUAAAGUUAGUAUUAAACUAGGAUUAGAUACCCUAUUAUUAUAACUGUAAAAUUUAAUACUAGAUUAGUAUUAGUUAUUUUCUUGAAAAUUAAAAAAUUUGGCGGUAUCUUAGUCUAUUCAGAGGAACCUGUCCUGUAAUUGAUAAUCCACGAUUAGUUUUACUUUUCUUUUUCUUGUAUAUCGUUGUUUUUGAAUAUUUUAUAAGAAUUUAAAUUUUCAAUAAGUAUAUAUUAGUUUAUUUCAGAUCAAGGUGCAGAUUAUAGGAAAGAAGAGAUGGGUUACAAUAAAAUUAUUUUUUGUUUAAUAUUUUAAAUAGUUUUAUUAAAUUGGAUUUGAUAGUAAUAUUUUAUAUAUUUGAUAUGUGAUUUUAGCUCUAAGAUGUGUACAUAUUGCCCGUCGCUCUCAUUAUUUUGAGAUAAGUCGUAACAAAGUAGAUUUACUGGAAAGUGUAUCUAGGAUUAAUAAU